CUUCCUACCUAUCCACGCCACAGCCCAAAUCCUCCCAUUCUCCCUCGGAGCCACCAUCCGCUAGGGUUUCUCUUUGGCGCCCCCGCCGCCACCGCCGCCAACCAAUCUCCGCUCGCUUGAUUAGGUGAUCCCUCGACCCUGAAGCACUCCACCCCGAGCUUCUCCUCCGGCCGUUGAGUGCCAAGAGUCUGCCACCGCACCGACGAGCGCCCCGAGAUGCAUCUCCCUCUGAUGAGCGCUACGACAUGCAUCUGCCGCCGGCGAGCUUAGCUUCACCACCGACUCUACAAGUUUCCUCACCCGCUUUGAGCACUUUGCGGCCACUACCGCCCUGACAUGCCCCCGACCCCUGCAUUGCCGUGGAAGCGAGCCUGCUGCUCCUCUCCCUCCCCAAGAACAUCUAAGCUACCGAUGCAACGCCGACGCCCUAAUUUGCCUCCCCUCCAUCACAGAGGUGCAUCUGGUGGAGUGGCUCAAGAUGAUGGUGGGCAUGAGAAAAGUUGAGGAGCGUUGAAGGACUGUUUGGAGGCUCACUCACAUGGUGUUACCAUGCUAAUCAAAGUGUUUUGAUCAAUAGAACACAUGCUAUUCCAGAAGAUUUUAACAUACUAACUAAUGGAUUGAGGUUCAAACAGCCAGAACAGCGCCAUGGGAACCAUCAUGGUGGUUGAAAAAACUGAUUUUCCUCAUCCCCCUAUCCUUACAAGGCAAGCAAGGGAAAAGAACAAAUAAACUUGUCUGGCUGAGUGAUGCAUCUCUUGUUGGAACUAUGCUUUUGGCUAUUGAAUAAUGGCCUAUAUUUGUUUUGAUGGAGUUAUUGAUGAAAAUAACUUGUGGAGCUCUUCGAUCCCAUACAAAGCUUUUAUACUGAUAAGGACAAGCUUUUCGAGACUCUUGCUUCUCUCUGGGCAGCAUGUGGCUGAGUGGCAUAUUGUGCAGAGGAAGAGUAUGAGAAGAAACUUGUGCUUCUCACUCAAACUUUGUCGAACUCUCUUU
Long non-coding RNA from Hordeum vulgare subsp. vulgare (domesticated barley), 996 nucleotides. RefSeq lists it as uncharacterized. The transcript has 6 exons. The record is from RefSeq and is a predicted model, not a curated record. NCBI's taxonomy places the organism in Eukaryota, Viridiplantae, Streptophyta, Magnoliopsida, Poales, Poaceae.